CUAUCUCCUGAGAAUGAACUUCUUU
RNAcentral lists this non-coding RNA (25 nucleotides) under Cricetulus griseus (Chinese hamster). Lineage: Eukaryota; Metazoa; Chordata; Mammalia; Rodentia; Cricetidae. The record is from RNAcentral.